AGUGGAUGGGGAGCAACCUAGUUGUGCGUGUGUAAAGGUAGUGCCAAGAAAAGCGAUGAUCAUGUAGAAAAUCAAUUCCCGGUACCCGAAACCGACACAGGUGGGCAAGUAGAGAAUACUAAGGGGCGCGAGGUAACUCUCUCCAAGGAACUCGGCAAAAUGACCCCGUAACUUAGGGAGAAGGGGUGCCACCGAGAGGUGGUCGCAGUGAAGAGGCCCAGGCGACUGUUUAGCAAAAACAUAGGUCUCUGCAAACUCGAAAGAGGAGGUAUAGGGGCUGACGCCUGCCCAGUGCCGGAAGGUUAAAGAAGUUGGUCAGUUUUAGGAUGAAGCUAGCGACUGAAGCCCCGGUGAACGGCGGCCGUAACUAUAACGGUCCUAAGGUAGCGAAAUUCCUUGUCGGGUAAGUUCCGACCCGCACGAAAGGCGUAACGAUCUGGGCGCUGUCUCGGAGAGAGGCUCGGCGAAAUAGGAUUGUCUGUGAAGAUACGGACUACCUGCAUUUGGACAGAAAGACCCUAUGAAGCUUUACUAUAGCUUGGAAUUGUGUUCGGGCUUCCUGUGCGCAGUAUAGGUGGGAGGCGUAGAAGGUAUUCUUGUGGGGAUACUGGAGCCAACGGUGAGAUACCACUCUCAGGAGGCUAGAAUUCUAACUUAAUUAAGGACAGUUUCAGGUGGGUAGUUUGACUGGGGCGGUCGCCUCCAAAAAGGUAACGGAGGCGUACAAAGGUUCCCUCAGACUGGUUGGAAAUCAGUCGAAGAGUGCAAAGGCAGAAGGGAGCUUGACUGCGAGAAGUACAGUUCGAGCAGGGUGGAAACACGGUCUUAGUGAUCCGACGGUGCUGUGUGGAAGGGCCGUCGCUCAACGGAUAAAAGUUACUCUAGGAUAACAGGCUGAUCUCCCCCAAGAGUUCACAUCGACGGGGAGGUUUGGCACCUCGAUGUCGGCUCAUCGCAACCUGGGGCGGAAGUACGUCCCAAGGGUUGGGCUGUUCGCCCAUUAAAGCGGUACGUGAGCUGGGUUCAGAACGUCGUGAGACAGUUCGGUCCAUAUCCGAUGUAGGCGUGAGAAUAUUGAGAGGAGCCUUCCUUAGUACGAGAGGACCGGGAAGGACGCACCGCUGGUGUACCUGUUAUGAUGCCAAUUGUAAACGCAGGGUAGCCAAGUGCGGAGAGGAUAACCGCUGAAAGCAUCUAAGUGGGAAGCCCACCUCAAGAUGAGUAUUCUGGUGUAAGGUCACGGGAAGACGACCCGUAAAUAGGCACGAGGUAGAAGUGUAGAGAUGUAUGAAGCCGAAGUGUACUAAUAGACCGUCGGCUUGACC
Molecule: ribosomal RNA, 1325 nt
Filed under: metagenome
Description: bacterial LSU rRNA
Rfam family: Bacterial large subunit ribosomal RNA
Source: RNAcentral